RNAcentral lists this ribosomal RNA (465 nucleotides) under Vreelandella stevensii. RNAcentral describes it as "partial 16S ribosomal RNA". It matches the Rfam family "Bacterial small subunit ribosomal RNA", at positions 338 to 795 of the family's 1533-position model. Lineage: Bacteria; Pseudomonadati; Pseudomonadota; Gammaproteobacteria; Oceanospirillales; Halomonadaceae. The record is from RNAcentral.
CCUACGGGGUGCAGCAGUGGGGAAUAUUGGACAAUGGGCGAAAGCCUGAUCCAGCCAUGCCGCGUGUGUGAAGAAGGCCUUCGGGUUGUAAAGCACUUUCAGUGGGGAAGAAAGCCUUGGGGCUAAUACCCUCGAGGAAGGACAUCACCCACAGAAGAAGCACCGGCUAACUCCGUGCCAGCAGCCGCGGUAAUACGGAGGGUGCGAGCGUUAAUCGGAAUUACUGGGCGUAAAGCGCGCGUAGGCGGUCUGAUAAGCCGGUUGUGAAAGCCCCGGGCUCAACCUGAGAACGGCAUCCGGAACUGUCAGGCUAGAGUGCAGGAGAGGAAGGUAGAAUUCCCGGUGUGGCGGUGAAAUGCGUAGAGAUCGGGAGGAAUACCAGUGGCGAAGGCGGCCUUCUGGACUGACACUGACGCUGAGGUGCGAAAGCGUGGGUAGCAAACAGGAUUAGAGACCCGAGUAGUC